This 393-nucleotide ribosomal RNA is filed under the name uncultured bacterium. RNAcentral describes it as "partial 16S ribosomal RNA". It matches the Rfam family "Bacterial small subunit ribosomal RNA", at positions 523 to 918 of the family's 1533-position model. The record is from RNAcentral.
AUACGGAGGACGCGAGCGUUAUCCGGAUUCAUUGGGUUUAAAGGGUGCGCAGGCGGCCGUGCAAGUCAGCGGUGAAAGCCCGGGGCUCAACCCCGGAAGUGCCGUUGAUACUGCAUGGCUGGAAUGCGGUCGAGGCGGGCGGAACGGGGCGUGUAGCGGUGAAAAGCGUAGAUAUGCCACAGAACGCCGAUAGCGGAGGCAGCUCGCCAGGCCUGCAUUGACGCUCGGGCACGAAAGCGUGGGGAUCGAACAGGAUUAGAUACCCUGGUAGUCCACGCCGUAAACGAUGGGCGCUCGUCGUCGGCGGCAGACAGUCGGCGGCCAAGCGAAAGCGAUAAGCGCCCCACCUGGGGAGUACGGUCGCAAGGUUGAAACUCAAAGGAAUUGGCGGGG